UUACAUCCUGGGCUACACACACGCGUACAAUGGGUGAUACAACAGGUUGCGAUAGAGCAAUCUGGAGGCCAAUCCCUAAAAUCAUCCUCAGUACGGAUUGCAGGCUGCAACUGCCUGCAUGAAGUUGGAGUUGCUAGUAAACGCAGGUCAGCACACUGCGUUGAAUACGUUCUCGGGCCUU
This 181-nucleotide ribosomal RNA is filed under the name uncultured Chloroflexota bacterium. Its description in RNAcentral is "uncultured Chloroflexi bacterium partial 16S ribosomal RNA". It matches the Rfam family "Bacterial small subunit ribosomal RNA", at positions 1202 to 1382 of the family's 1533-position model. The record is from RNAcentral. Lineage: Bacteria; Bacillati; Chloroflexota.